UUAAAGGCUGCCAAAGGGAGUGCGGGUUCUUGCAUAUAUGUGGUGAAGUAAAGACUUGUUUGGUCCUUUUAUUUUUUUUUAACUUUUGGGUUUGUUUUUUUUCAUUUCUCUCUCUUUUGGGGGGAAAAAAACACUACUUAUUAGUGUUGGGAUGAAAUAGUUUGGGCAGUUGGGCAUUUUGCUGAGUGGGUAAAAGCCUGUUUGUAAAGUUUGGGAUGAAAUGGAUAGUUUGGGAAAUGUCUACAGUUGCUCUUCUCUGACUGUCAGAAAGAGUAUUUGGUGACAGCCCCUCAACAGAUCAGAAGAAAUCAGCAAGCAUCCACCCUUGGGUAGCCAAGGCAGAGAAAUGCCUCUGCAGAGGAUAAUACACAACAUGGCCAAAGGAUUAAACAGCCCAAGGAGAGAGCACCAUUUGUAUAUUCUGCUACAAGCUCGGUAGCAGUUAUGGAUGCUUCUAAAUCCUGUGAGGCUGUGAAUCUCUGCUUUUUAUUCACAGGGAAUUAAGGGAACACACACACCAUUUGUGGCAGAAAAUGUUUACAUGAGCCCAUGUUACAAGAGAGCAAGACUGACAUGUUCCUGACACAACAGCCAGGUGGUUUGGAGAAUCACCCAAGAGCCAACAGAUCAGGGUUCAAGCUCUUCUGCACCUGAUUUAGGCUAGAGACUUGAACUGAAUUCUCUUACAACAUAGAUAAAUGCCCUCACCACUGGCCUGGUGGUUAUUUUGUGGAAGGAAGGCUUGUUCCAUCUUAGAUGUGAGCAAAUCUCAGAUGGGAGGGGGAAAGGCUGGGAAGGAGAUUUUCAUCUUUUAAACAAAUUCUCCCUAGAGGUGUUUUUUUUUGGUAUGUGUUGUGACUAGCCAUUGUCACCUUCAAGCUGUAUAUUAAGCUGCCUGCAGUGGAAGUUUAUCCAAUUUAAUAUUACCAGCUUUCAAGCCAUGAAGUUGAUUUUCAAAUCCUUGCUUUCUUGUACAAAUCUCUUUGUACAACUGGACCCUUAAGAAGGACAAUGAAAAACCUAAAUGGAGGCACAGAGACCCUGCUGCAAAACCCACUAUGGGCAAUCUCCACGCAGAUCUCAUUUCCCUGUUCUUUGUGUCCCCCAGCUACAGCACAGCACUUCAACAUGUAAUGAAUGGUGUUAUGAACAAUCUGCUUUAUGUAACCGAGACUGAGCAGUUAACGCAUCCCAGCACAGAUCCAGAAGUACAAGGCAGAGCCUUGCUGUGGGCUUGUGGUGACACCUGUCCCAGUCACAUGGUCAUUUGGGCUGUCGAAUCAUUCCCUUGCAUGGCAUGAGUUGCAGAAGCUGAUGUAUCUUAACCAUCCCAGCUUGAGAGGAUCCUUUUUUGAACCAGGAUUUCAAUUGCAGUUUUUGCUUGGAAGAGCAUGCAGUACAAAACACUGGAUCCUGAUCAUCAGGAAGCAAUACAUAGACUUUUUCUCCCAAGAGACUGAGUUCUCUUCCAGAAAACCAUGUCAAUGUCUAAUUGACAUUGAUAGCACAAAAAGUGUGAUUGACUGACAGGCUUUAAUGGAAGAGAGCUGGAUAAGACCACAUAAGCUCUCAAUAGCACCAUUUUAAUUUCUUUCCUGAAGAUGGAGGAUAAGAAGGAACACUCUCUGCCAUCACUUCCCAAAGAAGUCACACCACCUACUUCAGUGAGAACAGCAAAAUCUUGUGGGAAGAGGGAGGUGUCAACAAGCUAAGACUUUUUUUAUCACUGGUUUGUGGCCCUGGGCUCAGUGGAUUGAAGAAUACCCAAAGCCACCUCUAUUCUGGGUAAGUUCUGGUUCUGGGAUCUCAGCGUUUUAAUUACUAUCAUCCAGCAGUUUCAAAUGAUCCCUGUUAACUUUGCAUCAAUGUAAAUGUUUAUUUACAUUGUGAAAAUCGGGAACCCAAUAAGCAUCAUAAAAAUAGGUUGUGGUAGUGCUGCUUCCAGGACUCGGUGACCCAUCUCCCAGCGAUAAGGACGUGCUGAAGCUCUUUUUGUUUGUGACAUUAUAUGUGAACAGAGAGUGAUUAUUUCCAGUGUAUCUCAGAAUUGCCAAAGGUAUUAUUUGGGAUUAUUGCAGUGCAAGUGCUCUUUGCUCAGGUUUACUUAGGUUCUUGGAAAAUACUAAAUGUUGCCUUCCUAAUGCCUGAUCACACCCUGCUGUAAUAAAUGUUAAAACAAAUGAAAAGUAAAGAUUAAAGUAUACCAUAGUUGAACUCCUGAGAUGUAUUGCAACAGCACUUCAGCUUACACUUCAAUUUCCCGCAAAUAGCUUCCUAUCUUAGGUGCCACACAUUGAGAAAAAAAAAAAAAAUAAGCUCCAGUUAGAUUGAAAAUGCAAGACUACCAAUAAGCUGCUAAAUUACUUACUGUUAUCUAUUUUUAUAUUGCAAGCCCUCUUGGCAAUCCAUGUUCUUUACAAAUUAAGUUGCACGGAGGUAUAGUUCUCAAUAGCCAUCAAGUUUCAGCACAAAAUGCCUUAUUUGCAUUUUUUAUGGCUUAAAACUACUAACAUGAAAUGAUUUACUGUUUGUAGGUGGGGGGAAAGGCUACUGAGGAGCUUAUUGUUUGAGUUGGACUUUUUCAGUCUUUAUUGGCAGUGUUUACCUCAAAAUGUUAAAUGUACAGUAGUGGACUAUAUAAUUUAAAAUCGGUCUCAGUCACUAAAGUGUGCUAACGUAUUAUCAUCUAGGAAUCUGCAUAAUAUGCAGGAUUUUGUCCAAUGAAUGGGAUGAUGCUUUUUAAAUUACGCCAAAUAUAUUGCCAAACCGCCAAAGAUAGGAGAGCUGAGGAGCAGAGGUCGCUAGGGGGAUCUCAAACUGAACCUUAAUUUCUGGAUGUAUUCAUAAAAUGGUGAGGGCUGCCAUGGCUCAGAAACACCACUGAUAGAUGGAUAGAGAUACAGGCCUGAUUUUCAGCGGGGUAUAAAAUGGUUUUAAUGAAGCUGUGCCAUUCGGCUUCAGUGGAUGCCAGCAGAGCUGGGCCAGUUUGUGUCCCAUAAAAUGUGUCUAUAGUCAGAAGCAAAGACGGGCUGAAUUCAAGAAUAAGAAGGUUGUGGAUUUCUGAAAUAAGCUAAUUAUCAUUGUUUUUUGAAAAAAAUAUUAUAGUAUUUUUGUAUGUUUGUUUUCCUUGUUGUAAUUAAUGAUCCUUUAGUAAAAAUGUUAUUGCAGAGGAAGCAGGCCUCUCUCCAGCACCAUGUCAGACCUUGAAACUCAGUUCUUCUAGGGAAAUGAGUAUGUUCUCCCCAGAUUUGUAAAUCUAGUUGUGUCUUAGAAGAUAUUGGACUUGAUUUUCCUCUCACCUCACCAGUACAAACUUAAAUGGCCAUCAGUGGAAUUACAUGUGUUGAUGCAAACCUGAUGUGACAGGAGAGUAGGACUCAUUCCUACUUUAUCUGAUUCAAAUGAGAGGAAUUGGGAUUGGAGCUCCUUAGAGCUCCAGUGGGAUACACUCCAAUGGGUGUAUCUGUGGGCUGAUUUUUUUGCUGCAUUAUGCUGCAUUUGUAAAAUGGCUAUGCCGCCAUGCCUGUAUUGGCCAAAACUGGACCCUAUCAUAGAGAGAACUGCUGUUCUGCUGAUGAGAUUUCGGCUCCCGAAAAGUUUUCAUGAUUUAUGCUAGCCUUUUUUUUUUUUUUUUUUAAACCCCUUUUCUAUCCUUGAG
This is a long non-coding RNA of Alligator mississippiensis (American alligator), 3658 nucleotides long. RefSeq lists it as uncharacterized. NCBI's taxonomy places the organism in Eukaryota, Metazoa, Chordata, Crocodylia, Alligatoridae. The record is from RefSeq and is a predicted model, not a curated record. The transcript has 6 exons.